UGCGGAUUGACUGGAAGAUGAUCGUACAAUUGGCUUUUUAAUAAUCGAUUGAUUUACCAGGACUGUAAUACAAGUUUACAAAGACAUGUGGGGCAAUGCAAAUAUUUACUCAGAGUCUCAACUGGACGGGAAUGCUUGGAGAGGUGGUCUAUGAGUCUGUGGCUUCUGGGCAUUCCAGACAACCCCGCUGCACUUUAACGAAUUUAGUUUAUUUAAU
Triplophysa dalaica is the source of this 217-nucleotide long non-coding RNA. RefSeq lists it as uncharacterized. The transcript is spliced from 3 exons. The record is from RefSeq and is a predicted model, not a curated record. NCBI's taxonomy places the organism in Eukaryota, Metazoa, Chordata, Actinopteri, Cypriniformes, Nemacheilidae.